ACCUGGCUGGUAAAGUGGUCAGUAUUGCUGCCUUCCAAGCAGUUGACCUAGGUUUGAUUCCCAGCCAACGCA
Danionella cerebrum is the source of this 72-nucleotide non-coding RNA. NCBI's taxonomy places the organism in Eukaryota, Metazoa, Chordata, Actinopteri, Cypriniformes, Danionidae. The record is from the annotation of a GenBank genome assembly.